Molecule: ribosomal RNA, 970 nt
Filed under: Cortinarius saniosus
Lineage: Eukaryota; Fungi; Basidiomycota; Agaricomycetes; Agaricales; Cortinariaceae
Description: eukaryotic LSU rRNA
Rfam family: Eukaryotic large subunit ribosomal RNA (bases 588-970)
Source: RNAcentral
CUUUUAUUAGAGUAAGUAUAGGUCGUACCAGGGUUUCCGUAGGUGAACCUGCGGAAGGAUCAUUAUUGAAAUAAACCUGAUGGGUUGUUGCUGGCUCUCUAGGGAGCAUGUGCACGCCUUGUCAUCUUUAUAUCUCCACCUGUGCACCUUUUGUAGACCUUUCGGGGUCUAUGUUGCUUCAUUUUUCCACAAUGUAUGUUAAUAGAAUGUUGUGCCCUGUAUAAUAUAUACAACUUUCAGCAACGGAUCUCUUGGCUCUCGCAUCGAUGAAGAACGCAGCGAAAUGCGAUAAGUAAUGUGAAUUGCAGAAUUCAGUGAAUCAUCGAAUCUUUGAACGCACCUUGCGCUCCUUGGUAUUCCGAGGAGCAUGCCUGUUUGAGUGUCAUUAAUAUACAUAUAUCAAGCCUUCUCUUGUAGAAGGGUUUGGAUGUGGGGGUUUGCUGGCCUCUUAAUCUUAAGAGUUCAGCUCUCCUGAAAUGCAUUAGCAGAACAACCUUAUGUUCAUUGGUGUGAUAACUAUCUACGCUAUUGAAUGUUGAGGGGGAAGUUCAGCUUUCUAACGGUCCUUGGACAACUCAUCAUUAAUGUGACCUCAAAUCAGGUAGGACUACCCGCUGAACUUAAGCAUAUCAAUAAGCGGAGGAAAAGAAACUAACAAGGAUUCCCCUAGUAACUGCGAGUGAAGCGGGAAAAGCUCAAAUUUAAAAUCUGGCGGUUUUUUUGGCCGUCCGAGUUGUAAUCUAGAGAAGUGUUAUCCGCGCUGGACCGUGUACAAGUCUCCUGGAAUGGAGCAUCAUAGAGGGUGAGAAUCCCGUCUUUGACAUGGACUGCCAGGGCUUUGUGAUGCGCUCUCAAAGAGUCGAGUUGUUUGGGAAUGCAGCUCAAAAUGGGUGGUAAAUUCCAUCUAAAGCUAAAUAUUGGCGAGAGACCGAUAGCGAACCAGUACCGUGAGGGAAAGAUGAAAGAACUU